GGCUUUCGGCGAGCUCCCUUCCUUCCUCCCUUCCUCCCUCCCUCCAUCCCUGCCCCUUUCGCAACCUUUAUAUCAUCAGAGAGGAGGGAUACGACGUUCGCUGAGUCGCGUCUUUCCUCUUUGUACCGCUUCGCGACCUCCAUGGAACCGGAGACGAGAACGACGGCGGUGGCUCCAAUGAGGUAGGUGGCGGAGGGAUCUAGAUCUGAGGCCUUCCUCCCCCUCUCUCCUAUCCUAGAGUCCUGGAUCUAAUCUGGCCCCUCCUCAUCUUCCUCCUCCUCCUCCUCUAGAUCUAAGGGAUGUGGUGGUGGCUAGGGUUUCGGUGAGCUCUUGAGGUUCAGCUCUCUCGUGUGUUGCAAUGGUGUUCUCCAGAUGUUGUAGCAUAUUUUCACUUGUUGUUUUAGUAGGCUAGGCUUCUGGCAAGCUCUCGGGUUCAGAUUUCACCUUUGUUGCAAUAGUUCCCUCUGGAUGUUGCAGCGGGUUUCAGUCAUUGUUGGAGUACUUCUUUUUUGAUAUGUUGUUUCAUUUUCUUCAGUCUGCAUGUUGCAGUAGUUUGUUGCCUAUUGUUGGAGCAGUUGUCGGGUGUUGUUGUUGUAGUAUGUUCAUUGUGUUUCAGCAGCUGCACCAAAUGUUUCAGCUAUUUUUUCUUUGUUUGUUUAUGUUCAAGGUGUUUCAACUUCAUCAUCCCAGUGUUGGAACUGUUGUCCUUUUUUGUUGUUGCACUGCUAUGCGUUCAUAGUGUUUUAACUGCUAUAAUUUAUUGUUACAGUAGUUCGUCGGGCGUGUUGCAAUAUCACGUUUUUGGUGUUUCAACGUCUUCAUCCUUAUGUUGCAGCGUGCAGACGAGGGAGGGGGAGGGGAGGGGAGCUGUGGUGGUGACUUUGCAGUUGAUUGGACAAUACUCCCUCCGUCCCAAAAAAAAGAGUGUCGUUUUAGAAUUUUAGACAUCUUAAUCAUUCGUCUUAUUUAAUUUUUUACAUAAAUAUUAUAUAUUUUGUUAAGACUUAUUUUAUCAUUAGAGAUACUUUACUAAUAAUUUAUUUAUUUUAUAAUUUAUAAAAAAUUUUUGAAUAUAACGAACGGUCAAACAUGAUGUCUAAAAAUAAAAAACGUUACUUUUUUUUGGAUGGAGUGAGUAUUUAUGAAAUAGAAACGAAAGUGCUACGGUGGUGUUUAUUUUGUAAAAAAAGUUUGUAAUUAAACAAGGCUCCAGACUCGUCUCUAUAAGGAGGUGCAUUUGCAGAGUCGCAGAGAACCAGAACCACACGCACACGGCGCUCCCGCUCCUCGUCCGCACCGGCGAAAACGUGCACCUACGGGGUCGUGUCGACCAAAGCAGGCACGGACAGACGCAGGCGCAGCCACACAGUCACACAACAGCCAGCGAGAAAGAAAAAAACGCCGUGCGACACCACACGUCCACACCAGCAGUCUGGGCCCAGUGCGGCGGGUUACGUCGCGUCGCGGACGUCGACCGACCGACCCCGUAUCGCGACGGCUUUGACCAUGGACCGACGACCGGGGCACUCCCUGCCUCACGCACGCACUGCUGGGCCUCCGAAUUUGCCCUCAUAAAAAACUUUUUAGAUUUAGAGACUAUAGUAUUUUUGUUUAUAUUUAUUAAUUAUUAUUUAAUUAUAAAUUAAUUAUAUUUAACAAAUUUAUCUUAUAAAUUAUAGAUAAGUUGUAUAAUUAAUUAUUUUUUUAAUUUAUAUUUAAUGUUCUAUAUGUAUAUAUUGUAUGAUUUGUUGUAAUGUGAAAUUUUUAAAAUAAAAAGAUUUUAGGUGAGACUGGACCAGGCAGCAGGGGGGAGUAGCCAGCCGGGAAAGCAACCUCUCACCCCGCCCCAUACGUCACCCUCAAUUUCUUCCUUUUGACUCCCCUACUACCUUUCCUGCCUGCCCUGCUUUGAACACAGCCCUCUUUUUCCCUUUCAUGUAUUCCACACCCUCUUUUCUAGUUUUUGACUAAAAAAAAGUACCUCAUGUUUGCAAAUAUGUGUCUUAUUCGUUUAGCUGAUAAGCUAUGAUAGAAAGUAUUGUUGGCUGAUUUAUUGUGAGAGAAAAACACUACUGAGUGGCUAACAGAUUCGGCUGAUAAACUCAAGAAAACGCUAAUGUGCUUGUAGAAUAAAAAAAUCGCAUUUGAGCUUGAUGAUGAUAAGGGGGUUUGUGGGUGCGAGGGGAGAUUUGGUAUGGUGUUACCCAUGUAGCCUCUCUGCAAUCAGAUACGGUGUUGAUAUAGAAUCUUAUAAGAUCAACCUAUGUAGCCUCUCCGCAAUCAGAUACGAUGCUGAUAUAGAAUAUUGUAAGAUCUAUCAAUGAGAACCACUUCAUACUAGUUUAAUCUAUCUAUGCUAAGUUAAUUUAUAUCAUUCUCACUAAGUUUUUUUUUUUGAAAAAAACAAGAAGCAUGUAUCAAUAUAUACAAGUUGAAAUAAACAUACUACCAAGACAUAUUUCAUGUAGAAUUUAAUAAAAGCUUAUUUGAUGAUGCGAAUAUUGGUGCAUUUUUAAUAUAAUCUCUCCACAUACGGAGUGUAUCUCCACAGCCUGGCACGCCGCUGGUUGCGUGGAAACACUAUGGACGUCACACCUUUGCUCCAAACCAAACAAUGCUACUUGGCUAUCAUGAAGUGUGGCGUGGCUGGUCGUGCCUUGCAACAAAACACUCUUAGAGUACACAUGUUUUCUACCAUUUUAUGUUAAAAUUGCCGAUUGGUAGAGCUCGAGAAGUUUAAUAUCAUGAAUUCACUAAGGUCAGUCUCAAUGCAUGUUUCAUGAGAGUGUCAUACACAUUAAAUAGGAUACCACAUAAGCAAAAUUGCUGACUUGGCAGGAUCAUUAAAUGAAGGAGUUUCAUCAGAUGUGAGAGGAGUUUCAUCCCCAUAAAACUCUUGUGGCUCAGUUACCUAGUUACUAGUAUUGUUAACUGUGUCAUUAAACUAUGCAUUGAGACUGGCCUAAUAGUGCCAUGAAUUCAAUACCACUAAAAGUUCGAGCCAAUAAUAAUUUUGGUUUUCUCCUUGAUUAAAACUCCGAGUUGCUAGAUGUUCUUUGGCGAGCAUAGAUGUUUUGUAGAAGAAUAUGGAACUCACAUGGAUUUUGUAUUUUGAUUUCUUGACUAUGUAAAUGUAUACGCUUCAACGCCAUAUAUAAGGAAAACAGAACCAAACAAAAAGGCUUUUAAGCGUGGAAGGAAAAUAUAUAGUGUUUGAGGGGUACACGUGAAGACUUCUCCCGGAGAGGGAAAAAAAAAUUGUAGUAACUGUUACGUUUGACACGAGCACGGUAGAGCCGAGCCGACGCGAGGACGACGACCACCAGUCCACCACCGUCGCUUUUCCUGGCCUUCCAUAUACCAGCACCCGCACCACCUCCACCUCCCUUUCCCUUUCUGGCCGCAUUCCCUCGUCCUCCGGCCGGCAGCCGUCGUCGCCAGCAGGAGCUUCCGAUGGUCCGGAAGGAGACGGCCAUGAGGCUGCCCCCGCAGCACCAGGCGCUGGAGGUCAAGAUCCCCAGCUUCUUCCGCUGCCCGAUCUCGCUCGACGUCAUGCGCUCGCCCGUCAGCCUCUGCACCGGCGUCACCUACGACCGGGCCUCCAUCCAGCGGUGGCUCGACUCCGGCAACACCACGUGCCCGGCCACCAUGCUCCCGCUCCGCUCCACCGACCUCGUCCCCAACCUCACCCUCCGCAGCCUCAUCGCGCACUGGGCCGCCUCCGCCGCCUCCUGCUCCCCCACCGCCACCGACAAUUCUUCGGCGACACGGACCUCUUCCCCCGCGAGCCUCGUCCGGCAGGUGGCUUCCGCCGGCGUCGACCCGUCCCCGGCCCUCCGCGAGCUGGCCGCCUAUCUCUCCGACGACGACGUCGACGACUUCGAAAAGAACGCGCUCUUGGGCGCCGGCCGCGCCGCCGAGACCGUCGCGUCGGUUCUCCGGAGAAGACCCGAGGAAACCGGCGUCGAGGGCGUGGAGGCGGCAACCAGAGUGCUGGCCAAGAUCUUGGCCUCGGACGGCAUCGACGACGCGAACAAGAAGCGGGUGGCCACCGGCCUCACCGCCGACGCGGCGGCCUCGGCCGCGUCGCUAGCGCGCGUGAUGCGCCGCGGUAGCGGCGGCCUGGAGGCGAGGGUCGACGCGGCGAGGCUGGCGGAGCUGCUGCUCGCCAAUGCCGCAGACGAGGCGGCGAAGGCGGCGGUGGCCGAGUCGUCCGAGCUGCUGGCCGAGCUGGUACGGCUCGUGGGCACCGUCGACGAGAAGGGCGCCCUGGAGAGGAACGCCGUGGACGCCGGCCUCUCCUGCCUUGCCGCAGCCAUCUGCGUCUGCGGCGGGUCGCGCCGCGCCUGGGCGCGCGGCGAGAUGGUGCGCCUGGGCGCGGUCCAGGCCGCGGUGCGCGCCCUGCGCGCCGCCACGACGGAGCCCGGCGCGUCCGCGAAGGCGCUCCGCGUGCUCGAGUCCGCCGUGGGCUGCGCCGAGGGCCGCGCCGCGCUGUGCGGUGACGCGGAGGAGGCCAUCCCGGCCGUGGUGGGCAGGAUGAUGAAGUCCGGGCGCGACGGCGCCGAGGCCGCCGUGGCCGUGCUCUGGGCGGUCUGCCACCGGUACCGGGACCGCCGCGCGGCGGACGCGGCCGCGGCGGCGGAGGGCGGGCUGACGAGGCUGCUCCUGCUGAUGCAGAGCGGGUGCUCGCCGGCGGCGAGGCAGAUGGCGCUGGAGCUGCUCAAGAUUUAUAGGGUGAACGCCAAGAGCUGCCUCGCCGGCUACGACUCCAAGACCACCCACAUCAUGCCCUUCUGAGGAAGCGAAGCGGACGAGAAUGGCUUGCCGGAAUCCUUCCUGGGCUAGCUGAUCAAAUGGAUUCGAUGAAUCGAUUAAAUUGCAGGCGAUGGUGUUCUUGUUCCUGUGAUGUUUCUUGAUAUUUUUUUCCAUUUUCUUUUGAUGUAAGUCGAUAGAGAAACAAAGAACAAUUGGUUCAUGGUGGAGGGGAGAAGAAUAAUAAUCUGUACAGUUCAUGGGUAGAGUUUUUGACAUGAUCAGAACAGGCACAGGGGACAACUUAACCAAAGAAUUGAUUUUUUAGGCCAAAGCAAUUGGAAGCGUUUGAUUAUUCCUCCUGAAAGAUUUGCGAAUUUUCAGAGAAAUGAUGAUCGACAGGAGAUGUGGAAUGAUAAGGUUGUUACUGGAAGCAAUAAUGCUUGUUGCUGCUCACAUCAAAACUUACGAAGAAGCUGAACGACGACGAUCACAUCAAAUGAUUUCAUUUCGAAUCAUUGGUCUGCACUUGUGGUAAUGCGUACGUACUAGGUUUUCAUAGAAGUGCUUAUCAGGCAACAAGUUGUAGAAUUGCCUAAUGCAGGAUGUCGUGGUCUGGACUAGAAGGACAGAUUACUCCUACAAAUCCGUAGUCUGAAAGCAAGAUCAACAAGACAUGGGUACAGCAUGCGCACUACUGGCCAUUAGGAUAGAAAAGCCUGGAUGGAGCACGUUCACGUUGCCGCUGACCAGAGCCCAUGAUGGAUUUGACCAGUGUAGCAUCACGUCUAGUUCACUCCACCCACUCAUGACUGACCCACAAGUCAUGAGACCAGAUGUCUUGGGUGAGCUCUAAGCAUAACCCAGCUAUGUAAUCCCAAAGUAUACUCAGUUUGUUUCUCGUCUUCACUAUUGGAAUAAUUUAUAGACCAGAGUGCUUGUCCCCAUGCCCAUCGGUAACCGGUGAAAGGAACGUUUUGUGCAUCAUGUUGCAUGUUUAAUUAGCACUUGAUCACUAGGCAAUCUUCGUGAAAAUGGGCCUAAUUUUCACACCUAGGAUCUUCCGGCUUAGUAUUGUACUCCUUCCAUCCCAAAUUGUAAGUUAUUCCAAGAAUCUUAGAGAGUGAAAUCAUUUUCACGUUUGACCAAAAUUAUAGAAAAAAAUACUAAAAAUUGUAAUGUAAAGUGAGUAUACUAUAAAAAUAUAAUUAAGAAAUAAUCUAAUAAUACUUAGUUCGUACCAUAAUAAUUAUCAUUUUAUAAUAUAAAUUUGGUCAAACUUAGAAAAGUUUGACUCUCCAAGAUUUUUGGAAUGACUUACAAUUUGGGAUGGAGGAAGUAGAUCGUACUGUCUACCAUCACAAUAUAAUUAAGUUCAUUAAUCAGAUACAAGAUCUUCAAUGUGUCAUUUUGACUACACUUAUGUAGGAAUAAAUAUCUUAUCUUAGACAAAAAGGGUUAUAUGCUAUGUUGAAUAUAUAUUAGUAUCAAUAUUAUAUUGUCAAUCUAUAUGAGUCUUUACACAUUGAUUGUCAAAUCUAGAAAAAAACUAAGAAAAAGUUUAGCUUAACACAAAUCUUGAUGUAGUCAUGUUUGUGAUUAGAGAAAGUAACUCCAAAAUGGUCAUUGAGUUAAAGAAAAGCUAAAGUCGUCAUUUACACUCAGGAGUCCGCACUCCGCAUCAAAAAACAUGCUUGCUGGGUCCUUUUUCCACCCGACAUCUAAGAGCAUGGCCAACAUAAGGCCUUGGGCCUUGUUUACUUCCAACCCAAAAUCUAAAAUUUUUUAUGAUUCUUCAUCACAUCGAAUCUUUAUACACAUGCAUGAAGUACUAAAUAUAACGAAAAUAAAAACUAAUUGCAUAGUUUGGUCAAAAUUAACGAGACAAAUCUUUUGAGCCUAGUUAGUCCAUGGUUGGACAAUAAUUACCACAAACAAACGAAAGUGCUACAGUGUCGCGAAAUUUUUCCCUUCACCAACUAAACACGUUGGUGUUGUUAAAUUUUAACUCCUAUCACAUAUUUAGAUAUAUGUAUGAAGUACUAAAUGUAGACUAUUUACGAAACUAAAAACACAACUAGAGAGUAAUUUAUGAGACGAAUUUUUUAAGUCUAAUUAGUCUAUGAUUCGAUACUAAUUGUUAAAUAAAACGAAAAUGCUACAAUAACUAUUAAGCUUUAACACAUCCAACCAUAUCCUAAGAUUUUUGGCCGCCUCAGAAUAAAGUUAACAUACACGUAGAAAAGAUGGAUGGGAGUCACUGAUCUCUCCAGUGCAAGCUAACAGGUUGGUUGAUUCUGCUCCACUGCGGCCUCACUUUUCCCUCCCAAUGUUCGCUCUUGCAUGCCGGCUCCUCUGCAGCCUUAGUAACUUGUUGCAUGGACGUAACUAAAGCAAAAAAAAAAAAAAAAGGUUGGAGGUCUCGGAGUUCUUGACUUAAAACUCACAAUGAGGCACUUCUUCUUAAGCAGUUACAUAGAAUUUUCAUUUGUGAUGAAGUUCCCUGUGUGCGUUUAGUCUGAGAGAAACAUUACUCCAAAGGGAGAUUGCCAAAUCAUACAAAGAAAGGGUCUUUUUGGUGGCAAGAUAUCUUGAAAUUGCUUGAUAAAUUUAAAGGUCUGGCCUCUGUUCAGAUUAAGGAUGGAGCUUUCUGUCUUUUUUGGGAUGAUUAAUGGGAUGGUUAACCUCUCAAACUUUCUUUUCCAGAACUAUUCUCUUUUGCUAAGAAGCCAGUUAUCUCUUUCAAGAGUGUACUUGCUGUGAGUCCUCCUUUUGGCCUUUUCAACUCCCCUAUCGGUUCAGGCUUUUGCUCAAUUUUAGCGCCUGUUUGGAACGUAGUUUUUUCAUAGGAAAAGUAAAGAAAACGAAAACGGAGGAAAGGAAAAUAAGGAGACCGUUUGGAACGAAGGAAAUGAAUGAAACCUUUCCUCCGGAAGACUGUAGCAACAACACGAUUUCACAGGAAAAAAAGCAUCUGCUCUCACCUCUUGUUUUGCUUUCUUUUGCGCUUGCCCGAGAAAAAUCAAACGGGAAGAGAAAGACGAACAGCUAAUCACUAUAAGAACGGAAUGCCCCGCUGCCAAAUCCGGCCACCACGCCACUGCUCCGCUCUAGGCUGGGGCCCGCUGCCUGCGCCUGGCACUGUGCUGCUGCUCCGCCCCAAGCGCGCAGCAGGCUGCUGCUGGUCGCUGCUCCGCUCUGCGUCACGCUGCCGAGUCCGCCGGCAUCAUGCAACUAACACAGUAUAUAUUAUCAUUUUAUUAAGCACUAACAAUGACUCUUUAUCAUUCACAGACUCAUGAUUCCCUUGUUAUGAAUUCCUGUGUUCCAAACACCCCUUUCAAGUUAUUUCCUGUGUUUUUCCUUUCCUCUGUUUUACCACUACAUACUACAUCCUAUUAGAGCAACUCCAACAGCUUUGCUAUUCUUAUUAUGAAGACCUUUUAGAACUUGUAUAGCAGAAAAAUAGCCUCCAACAGAUGUGCUAUUUGGUUUUGUAAAAUAAAAAGUUUGCUAUUCCUUGAUUUUCGUUGGCCAUAUAUAGCCAACCACUGACACUAGCUAUCUGAUAGCAAGGCUGUUGUAGAUCUCUUUUUUUUAAGAAGUUUUUUAUUUUACAAAAUGGCUAAACAUUAGAAUUUGGCAACUAAUUUUAGCCAAGCUCUUGGAGAUGCUCUUACUGUGUUUUUUUCCGUUCCUCCGUUUUCUAUUCCUGCGUUCCAAACAGGCCCUUAAGAGUUGCAAGAAAUCCUGCAGAACUUAGUGCCCAGCAAUGAUUUGGAUACUUGGUACUAUAUUUGGGGAAAUACUUCUUUUACAUCCAAACAAGCCUAUAUUCAUCUAAUGGAAGUAAUGUGGUAGCUCCAAUCUUCAGUUAGAUCUGGAAAUCCUCUUGUCAGCCAAAGCAUAACGUGUUCUUCUGGCUCCUUGUACAGGAUAGGGUCAGUACCAGAAAGUUAUUGAGAAGAAAGCAUAUGUUCCUCCCUUCCUAUGAUUGUAUCUUGUGCAAUGCAAGUUUUGAAGAAAUUGUGGACCAUCUACUCCUAGAAUGUAGCCAUGCCAGGGAAUGUUGGGCCUAGAUUGCCCUAACAGUGAUUAGCUCACCGGACCUGAUCCAAAGAUUUGAAAGCUUUCAAACACAAAUUGCAAAAAUAAUUCUUCAUGGAAGUAAUUAUCAUCAUGUGCUGGAGCAAUUGGACCAUUAGAAAUGAUAAUAUUUUCAAAGGAAUCCUAGCUUGCAGCCUUCGAGACAUAGAAAUCUUCAAAAACAUCUUCAAACAACUCCUAUGGAGAACAAAGAGGAAAUAUUUUCCAGCUAUUGAGUUAUGGCUAUAGCAAGUUGUGUAAUUGCCUUAAUUUUUUUGUUUCCUUCUUUGUCCCCUGAACCCCAACCUCUCUCUCUCCCUUCUCCUUUAAGCUUUUGUAACUUCUCCUUGGUUAUAGUUUUUUUAAUAAAUUCUUCGGUAGAGGUCCUCCUGAGCCUCUCCUGUUUGUUUAAAAACACAUUAGGCCUGACGUGGUGUUCUCUUACUAAGCCUUGGCAAGGGAAACGAAUUCAUGUAUGUAUGCUUCAAUUUAAACAGUUAACAUCUCGUCCUAGUUGUAGCUUAGCUGCUUAGCGCAUGUUGUGAGUUAGUGCCACAUUGUUCAACCUGAGUAGAGGGCGACGGGAGUGAGUUCUUAGUAGGACCUAGGGCAACAUUUGUAGUUCAAUUCAUCCAUGCCCUUGGUCAUUUUGGUUGAGACUGAAUUGAUUUACAAUUAUAUAUACUCCCUUCGUCCUGGAAUAGAGUACAUUCUGGCAUUUGAGAUGUGUCCCCAAAUAUAGUACAUUCAAGGAACAAGAAGAUAAUCUUUACUUAAAUAAAGUUAUGGAAGAGAAAAGUGAUUGAGUGCAUGCCAUAUUUUCUAUAAGAAAACUUAGAUUGCACCCCUUAAUCAUGCGAAUAGGAUCAGAUUUCAAUAGAUUAGGAAGUUAAGUAAGGAGCACAUGUGUCUAUUGUCUUCUCUCUUAUUUUAUCUUAGAAUAGUCACAACGCACAGUAUUGCAGGACGGACGGAGUAGAUAUAGAUAUAGAUACAAAAGAUGUCUUUUUUGGCUCAGAAAAAGAAUUAAUUCCUUUUUAAAUUAAAGGUUUGAAUCCUUAGAAAAACCGAUCCAAAACAAUGUUUUAUAGGUGUCCGAUAUUAGUUAGAUAUAUUUUAUUCAAUUUUUAGAUAUAUGUUUUUUGGGUAUAUUUUAUUUGUAUAUCUAAUUUUUAGAUAUGUAAUAUUGGUAAUAUUUUAUUUGUAUCAGAUACCCCACAAUGUAUCUGGAUUGGAUUUAUAUCUGCUAAUAAUAUCUAAGAAAAAUAUCUAAAUCAAUAUUAGAGACUCUUUUGGAUGGUACUAAAGAAAAAUUUGUACCAUUUACAUCCUUGGCUUCACCUACCAUUGCAACUUUGGACACUAUUUUGUAUUAUAUUGCUUUUCUAGCAAAAAUGGCUCUGGGUUUACCAUAAAAAAAUGAACUACCGACUUGCUUGGGACAGAAAUAAUUUGUUGAUUGUUGUUGAAUAUAUUUUAGAGACUCAAAUAUUCAAUUUUAAAAUUUAGGUUUUCGAAUCUUUGAAAGGAGGUCGGUUAUCGAUAGUAUGUGUCAAAGUUGUGGUUUUAGUAAGACCUAUAACUUUAUAGCUGGCAACUUUUAAAUCUGAAUUCAUUGAGAGACUUAAAUAUUGGUUUUAAGUUCUAUAAUCCUGAAAAAAAAAAUUGAAUUUUUCGAAUGAUCUCACGUGUUGGUUUGGUCCACACAAAGUUGUAGCUCUCAAUACGUUAUUCAAUUUUGUAGUUAAUAAUAUCUUUUGUAUCUAGAAUCGUUUAGAGACUCAAAUUUGCUGCGGCGCCAUGUGCCAUCCACAGCCUUUAUCUGAUACUCAAGAGAUAGCCCUAUUGCUAUAUGCUAGUUUUUUCUUGCUCUUCACUGCGAACCUGCGUCACUUUUCUUGACUGAUGAUGACUAAAGCUCAAUCUGAAAUUGUAUUAUUGUUGGAAGGAAUCUCUCUGUAAGACACAAAUGUUUCAGUAACAAAAAAUGAUGGUACGGAAUCAUUCAGUAAACACACACCAACCUAAAAAAAAUAUGGCGCUUCUUCUUCUCAACGAUGAGUCUAACUGACGAGAUAUCUUGUCAAAAAAAAAAAACUGACGAGAGAUAAUAAUAUGUAGUGUAACUGUGUACCUGGACCUGAAGAACUUUACAAACCUCCAUUCUAGUGUAGAAAACGCAUCAAUUGUACAGUAUGUUGGAGAAAAAAAAAGAUUUAUGCACCACUUUUUACUAAAAAAAUAAUCUAUGACCACCAAAUGGUAUAGUUAUCCGCGUAAAGCUUGGGCUGUUUGUUUGCAGCAGACUGAGAAGGGGAAGCAGGAAGGAAGAACGAGGCAGACAGAGGUAGGCGAGGAAGGAUUCAGAGAGUUCAAUUCAGAGUUUUCUUAUUCGAUGCUUACGACUCACGUCUCUUCCCUGUUUAAAAAGUUUAUUUUGCCUUCCUCAACUAUCGUAAAAAUCAGUUUUUUCUUCAUCUCUAAACCAGACAUAGUUCCUCUCUCAUCUCUCAAAACCAGUCACUUUACCUCUAUGACUGUUUCCAUUGGUGGUUUUACUAUUUUAUUUUUAUGUUUAUUUCGGCUCAAUCUUCGAAAAAAAUUAUAAAAUAGAAAAAUUCAAUUGUGUUGGACUCUACAUGAGUAGAUCUACAUAGUGAGCAUAUGAUAUGAUAUGCUUUAGUAUAAACUUUUUUUUUGCUAAGUUACAGUUUAUCUUGUCCAAUUAUAUGAAACUUUUAUGUUGGAUUAAUAAUUUGCGUGCUUGAGACGUACUAAAGAAAAUCACGCCCGUUGGAUCAUAUAUGACUAAGUUAUAGAUUUAUCUUUUAAUUUAUCUAGGUUUAUAUAUAUAAAAAUAUAACUCAGUCAAACAUGAUCCAUUAAGUAUGAAUUUUUUUCUACAUCUCAAUAAUUCAAUGAUGAGCCCACCAUAAACAUUUUGCCAAAAAUCGACCAUAGAAAUUGGAGCUAUGAAUUAAUUACAAAAAAGUAUAGAUCUAAAGUUACAACAAAAACUUUAUACUAAAACAUACUAUAGUGUAUGUCUAUUGUGUAGAUAUUAACAUGUGGAGUCUAAAAAAAUUCAUACCAUUGGAUCAUGUAUGACUGAGCUAAAGAUUUAAUUUAAUUUAAAACUUAUUUAACAAGAUACAUCUAUAACUCAAUCAUGCAUUAUUCAAUGAGCAUGAAACUUUUAUUGUGGCUCAAGAAUGCAAUUAUUAGCCCACCAUAAAAAUUUCACCAUAAUUAGACCACAAAAACAACAGCCAUGAAUUAAUUACAAAAAACAUAAAUAUAAAGUUAAAACAAAAAAAAAUUAUACUAAAGCAUACUCACGUGGAAUCUACUCACGUGUACUAAAGCAUACUCACGUGGAGUACCAUAUCAUAUGUUCAUUGUAUAAAUCUACUCACGUGGAAUGCAACAUAAUUGGACUUUUCGUUUUACAAUUUUUCUGUGAUUUAGUAUGAUUUUUUCAAAGAUUCAGCCGAAAUAAACACAAGAGAAGUGACUAGUUUUGAGAGAUGAAGGAGGAACUAGUCUGGUUUUAGAGUUGAUGAAGAAAAACUGAUUUUUGUAAUAGUUGAGGGGGUUAAAAUGGAGUUUUUCGUUUCCUAUUACAACACUCUGGGCCGGCGUAGCGGGUGUUGAGCCUUAUCUAGCGCUUGGGCCUGGCAGCAGAAGUCAUGCAUGACUCUGCUGUCGGGCCAACAACCCAACAGAAUGGCACUACACUUUCAGCGGAUAUUGGGCCAUCGGAUUAACCGGUCCAAUCUGCUGCCAACAACAACAACAACCACCACGGAAAGUGACCAAGUUCCUGCGGUGUUGGGCCAGCCAAGUCGUCAGUCAGUCCAAUGGUGUGGGCUAGUCCGUCUAAUGGUCAGUCAGUCACAGUUAGACGUGGCUUUGUUCCCUUAUCUUUUAUACCUCACAGUAUUCUUCUUUCACGAUAAAUCAGCGAACGCUCUCUUUUAGCUAUAACUUUUCAGACAAGCUAAUACAUGUCUCCUUGCUACUCCUUCCUACACGCUGGAUUCAUGACGCAACGUACGGGAAAAAGACGCAACUCGCCAGCACGUCGCUCAGGAAUCAGGAGCAGAAAUGUCAACAGGUGUAGUAACAAAUUAAAUUACUGAUGAGAGCGCACUGGUUGUUCGUCGCACUAUGCAGAGCUCCCCGCUUUCAUCUGGUACAGGCGAGUGCAUAAUUUUACAUUAAACAGACAGCCCUGGGAAUGUGGCAUGGGUAGUAGCUAGACUCGUUCCGUCCAACAGCACUGCUGCAUCCCCGUGGUCAUCGUGUACUGCGUAGUGUAGACUAGUGGUAAUUACUAUUCUAAUGGAAUAGUAAUUGAACAUGCGAAUCCAAUUUGUACUCGCCAAUACCAAGUCAUCUGACAUCCCCCAUGCCUGCUUGCGUUGAAACCCGAGAUCGGCUCUCAAGUAGGCGUAGUCCCGACUGAGAGGUAUGGACGGAUCGACUAUGGACAGAGGGAAGAGGGAGGCUUCAUCAAAUUUACGCAGUGUAAAUACUGGUGAAUAAUAACCCACGACACAGCCAUUAUGUGCACACGGUGAAAACGGCGAGUGUGCUCCGCAUUCAUGCCCAGCCUAAAUAAACAGUGAAGUGGUCCUGCUCGUUGUGAUGACGAGGCUUCCUAUAAGUACCAGUACCACCUAGUAGAUGCUUAUCUGACUGGCCGUAUUCGUGGGAGCCAGAUUCAGUAACUUUACAGAGCAAAGUCACGUUGUAACUUUCUUUGAAUCUCCAUCCUCCAGUUAGCAUCGGACGGCUACAAUACUUCUUGAGGCCCAGUUCCGUUCCCGCACGAAAGCGGCCGCGCGCCAGAGUCCGCAGGAGCGCCGUCGCCCGUCGCCAUCGCUAUCACGGACGGCCGCAGCUGCCACCAGAAGCCGCACCCACCGCCAGAGCCUGUAGGAGUGCCAUCGACCAUCACUGUCGUGGGCAGUGCGUGCAGCAUUGUGGAUGCCGCGGCCUCAACCGUGUCGCUGGCUCGCGGAAUGCGCGAUUGGAGCGAGGAUCGACGUGGGUAGGCUGGCGGAUUUCUUGCUCGCCAAUGUGGCCGACGACUCGAAGGCAGCGGUGCCCGGCCGAGUCAUCCGAGCACUCCUACAGGCUGCCAUUUUCUAGUCGCGAGUGCGCGGCGAGCGUCGAGUGAUGCGCCUGGCUGCAGCCCCGGCCAUGGUGCACGCCACGACGGAGCUCGGCCAGUGCUGCUACUGCUGGUGCAAGAGCUCGCCGGCAAGGGGACAACAAAUAACAUGGCCACCAGGUUCGUCGCGUAUGCAAGAGUCGCCAUGCCGAUACAUGCCAUCGACUUGGUUCUUGCCUGUUCCGGCCAGGCGACAUCCUCACCUUCAUGCUCUGUCGUCGCCAGGACGCAUCCACGUGCAUCCAGCAGGCAGCUUCCCAGGUUAAAAUGGCCAAGUUCAGAGAUUGCUUUUGCUUGAGAUCACUAGGUCCAUUAGAUUUUGAAUGGACGCACCAGAUGAACGGAAAGUUACAUCGUGACUUUAUAGAGUAAAGUCACUGAAUCCAGCUCCUCGUAUUCGUGAGCUUCCAGAGAGGUCCAUUAUUUUCAGGAUCACCAGCACCCCCCUCCCGCGUGGCUCCUACAGUAGAAAGCCCGUACACCACGUACGCCGCCGAAUCAUGGCGCGCGUGCUUUGCGUCAAAAGCAAGGGCUCGCUCCGUCCUAUCCUUUUCCUAUCUCGUCAGUCAUCCAUGCCAAUCAGAUCCAUCGCAGCAGCUAGCAUCUCCAUGCAUUUGCAUUUGCAUCCACGAGCGAGAGCGAGACCAUGCAGUGCCGGCCCUGAAUUUUUUGAGGGCCGGGGCGGAAAAAAAAUCUGGGGGCUUUAUACAUUAUUAAGUUCCCAAAAACCAAAAAAAGUUUAAAAUUUUUCGUCACAUCAAAUCUUACGGCACAUGCAUAAAACACUAAAUAUAGUCAAAACCAAAACUAAUUACACAGUUUGCCUGUAAAUCGCAAAAUGAAUCUUUUGAGCCUAGUUAGUCCAUGAUUGGACAAUAAUUGCCAAAUAAAAACGAAAAUGCUUCAGUACCUAAAACAAAAAAAUUUAGGAACUAAACAAGGCUUAAGGAAAUUUUUUUGGUUUUAGCUACUGUAGCACUUUUGUUUAUAUUUGGCAAUUAUUGUCCAAUUAUAGACUAACUAGGCUCAAAAAAUUCGUCUCACCAAUUACAGGUAAACUAUGUAAUUAGUUAUUUCUUUUAUCUUUAUUUAAUGCUCCAUGCAUGCGUCUAAAAAUUCAAUGUGAUGAGAAAUCUUAAAAAAUUUUAGAAACUAACAAGGUUGUAGUUGUUGUUAUUCUAGGCCUGAUUGGUUCCUCUCGCUAAAUUUUAGUCACUUUAAUAGCUAAACUUUCAAACACAUUAACUAAAAAAGAGCUAAAAUAGUUUAGUUACACAAGUCACCCAAGAGUAGCUAAAAUAGUUUUAGCUGGCUAAAAUUUAGCAGGAGAAACCAAAUAGGGCCUAAAUAUUCUACAUCGUAAGCCAAAACUAAGCAGAAAAAAUACAGAAUAGUAUUGAACAACGUUGAAUAUCAUUGUUUAAUAUAAUAGUUCGGAGGUGUAGAAUAGUACUUGUAUAUAUAUACUCAUAAAUACUUAACUCUACAUGCAAAAGCAAUAUUCAUAUGCAACAAUUUAUAUAAAUAUACAAAUACAUUAAAGAUUAUUGUAUGGUUUGCAUAUUUGGGGGUGGGGCCCUGUCUAAUUGGGGGCCAGGGCGGCCGCCCCGCUUGCCUGCCUCCAGGACCGGGCCUGAGACCAUGCUAUAUAUAUAUAUAUAUAUAUAUAUAUAUAUAUAUAUAUAUAUAUAUAUAUAUAUAUAUAUGCAGAUUUGUGUGCCAGCUAAGCCGGCAGGUGGCCUGGCCCGAUACGGAACAUCUGCGAGCCCUGUAGAUAUCCCGGCUGACAGGUGGAGUCGAGUCCAAUCUCCGGAGAUUAGCGGGAGAUGGAUGGAUAACCUCGUGGGAUCAGCGGCGGAGCCAGGAUUUAAAUCUUGGGUAUUCCUAGUGUCUGGUGGGCCACCACUCAGUUGUUGCCUCUAACCUCAUGACCGACGUAUGUCUUCACCGGUCGCCAUGUAGACAUAGCAUAGAGACAGAGGCCGCGUCCGUGCUACACGCUUCUAGGAUGAGAGUAACUACACGCGCGUGUAAAAGAAACGCGUCCUAUAUAUAUAUAUAUAUAUAUAUAUAUAUAUAUAUAUAUAUAUAUAUAUAUAUAUAUAUAUAUAUAUAUAUAAAAUAGGGUGAGUUUUCUAUACUCCUAGGAGGAGUAGUUACUCCCACUAUAUUUAUUGGGUAUAUGUCCAUUAUCAAAACCCGUUAAAUACUCCUGCACUUUUGUGUAGUUGUUGUGCCCGCUUGCAUGCGGACGAAGAGCCACAAGACGUUACAUGUCCAUAUUUUGUGGCGUAUGUUUGUUGCUUCUUUCAAAUAAAAUAAAAUGGAUACUAAAUUCUUUAUUGACGUAUAUAUUUUUGUGUAAAUAAAAUAUGGACACUAAGAAAAUUUGUAUACUUAUACUUGGGAGUAUAUCCAUAUACUUCGGAAAUUAUUUUAGUAUAUCCAUAUACUCAUGGAAUUUUAGUAUAUCCAUAUACUUGAGCGUAUAUUUGGGAGUAUGUCCAUAUACUAAUGAGAUUUUAUUAUAGAGUAUAUGAACUAUUUAUAGGAGAAAAAAAUAGUAUGCUAAAUGUGCACAUAUUUUUUUUACACGAGUAGUUCGCAAAUAUUGAUAUGAGUAUACUAGUAUGCGUACAGACUUUUGACAGGAGCUGGCCGUGAGUUUCCGUCCCGAUCGGAAGUGACGGAUGGGGUGAAGCAGAUCUGAGAUCUGCUAGCUAUAUAUGUACGUAUUUAUAUUCAAUAUUCAAAAUACGAACGGGUCCGUUUUUUUUCUUUAACCCGCUAACGAGAACCCAGCGCCACGUUAGAGCAACUCCAACCAUUAUGCAAAUGGAAUUGACAUUUACCAAAAUACAUAAAACUCCAAAAAAAACCCCUCCAAUCGUUAUGCAUUUGGACUUUGCAUUUUACAUAGCUAUGCAUUUGGAGGGGGAAACUUGGCAUAUAUGCCAAAGAAGUCCGGCUAUGUAAAUAGAGAUCACGGGAUUCUCGGUUCCACCUCGCAGGCUUUUUUCUUCCCUUCGCGCGGUUUCCCUUCGCGCCGCCACCACUUCGCGCGAUUGGAGAAGCAUCGCGCGUCCUCCUUCGCCAGCUUGACUGAUGGCGGCGACCUGAUGGAGAUCGAUACUGGAGCCAAGGGGCGAACCUAUACGACGACAAACUGAUGGCCAACAGACGACGAACUGGUACGGUGAACGAGAACUAACGGAACGGGAGAUCGGUACUGCGAUCGGUACUGCGAACGGGAACGACGAACUGCGCAGCUCACAAUCGGUACUGCGCGGCUGUUUGGCGCGGGAAUUGGUGAACGGGAGACGACGGCGGGCUGUUUGGCGCGGGAUCGAUUGACCGCGCGGGAAGGAGUGCCGCGAAACAAAAUUUUCGGAAAAAAAAAGAAGAUGGACUCGGCAUUUUGCAUAACGGUUAGAGAUCACCCGAUUUUAGCCUUGUUAUUUUUAUUUGGGGGUUUGCAAUUUACCUAAAAUGCAUAACUUCAAAUGCAUAAUGGUUGGAGAUGCUGGCUCAGUCGUAUAAAUCUAGGUGGGAGUAGCUACUACCAGGGAGUAGGAAAAAUUUACCAUAUAUAUAUAUAUAUAUAACCUAUUCUACACCCUAGGUGUAGAAUAUUAUUUUACACCGCAAAUCAAAACUGAGUAGAAAAAAAUACUGAGCAACACUGAAACGCGUUCAGUAUCAUCUAAUACUACACUCAGGACCACGAAAUACUGAACAAUACUGAAACGCGGAUACUGAACAAUACUGAAUUCUGCUCAGUAUAACAGUUUGGUGUGACGGAGAAUUUUGAAAAUUUUUACGAACUAAACAAAGCCUAACUUUGCUCGAAAUGACCAUACACUUCGUAUAAAAUACGUCAUGCUUUGCGCUUACCAAAGUUUCCCUUUUUUUCACUGGGGUUAGGCCUUGUUUAGUUUACUCUGAAAACCAAAAAUUUUUCAAGAUUCUCCGUCACAUCGAAUCUUAUGUCACAUGCAUAAAACAUUAAAUAUAGACAAAAACAAAAACUAACUAUACAGUUUAGCUGUAAAUCACGAGACGAAUCUUUUGAUCCUAGUUAGUCUAUGAUUGGAUAAUAUUUGUUACAAACAAAUGAAAUGCUACAGUACCGAAAACUUUUCACUUUUCGGACUAAACAAGGCCUUAGUAGAGAAAAGGCCUCUCAUUCGAUGAGGAACUUUCUAGAAGUACGCGAGAAUCUCAUCUGCUCGAACGAAAGAAUUACAUACACCAAGUGCCAAGGACAGACAUAUACAUACUAUAAUAUGGAUUGUCAUGUAUGCCCAUGCCAGGAGGUGGGUUGAAAAAUUUCACAGUACAAUCAUGCAUACACUUAAUAAUGGUAUACAAAGCAGUACAUAUUUGAUAUUUUGCAGUACAGAUCCAGAACCAUAGCACCGUAGCACGUGCCCUCGGCCUAAUGUUCCCUUAAAGGAACUAAAGAAAAGCUCUGUUAAUUGCAGUCAUCACACAUUCUCACUGCAAUGCAAGAUACUGUGUCACAGUCAACCUUUUUCUUGUGUGCAGGCAAUGCACGGACCCACACACUGCACUCGUAAUUUAUGUAACACUCUCGUGAUGGUCAUGCAUGUUACUAGCAACUUAUGUGAGACUGCAAAUCUCUGCAACACUGCUGCAAAAGGGUUGAAAAAUGAAAAGCAGACCUAUGGGAAUGUGCUUUCAUUUUCAUAUUCAUGAUAUACUGGCAAAGCGAUGCUAUUUUCAUUGUGGCCUUGCAUGUGCAGCGAGGGAGCACCUUUCAAUCGCAGUGGCACCCAACCAACCAAGCCUUGCCAUUUGCCAAACCAUAUACCUUGCGGUAACAUUGCUAUGAUACUAGCUAGCUAGCUGGCGCGCGAGAUCGAUCUUUUUCUUGCCAUUUCAGGGCACCGAGACGUGCAUGCCAAACCUAGCUGAGCAACAGCAACAGCUUUGGAGGUAUAUAUAUGUAGUGAACCAUGCAUGAUACCAAAGAGCUGGCUAUAGCUAUUCAGGCCUUGUUUACUUCAACUGAAAAACUAAAAAGUUUUUCAAGAUUCUCCGUCACAUCGAAUCUUGUGGCAUAUGUAUGAAGCAUUAAAUAUAGACGAAAACAAAAACUAAUUACACAGUUUGUCUGUAAAUCACGAGACGAAUGUUUUGACCCUAGUUAAUCUAUGAUUGGAUAAUAUUUACCACAAACAAACGAAAGUACUACAAUAGUAAAAUUUAAAAAGUUUUCACAUCUAAACAAGGCCUCAGUCGUCUCCUUGGUGUGAAAUGGAUGAAACUGUAGGUGUUCUGUAUGCAUGCAUCAUAGCAAGAUAUGUACUAGUUCCUAUUGCUGAUGAGCUCACUCGAGCAGUCGAGCUGCAUUGCUGCAUGUUACAAAAAAGAAAAAAAUCUUCAGUCGGUUCAUCAGUCCCGUCUCACCUUGCUAAGGCCACAUUUGGAACACAGAAAUCUCACAAAACAGCAGAAAAGGAAAACUAUAGCUAAUACGACGAAACAUUUGGAACACAGAAAAUCUCAAAAUACUUUAUUGUACAUGAAACAGGUUACGCAAAAAAAAAAAAACUAUAGCUAAUACGACGAUUCCCACCGACAGGAUGCAGGUUACCGAGACACAGUCUUAUGUAACCCUCGGAUAUUUUGGUUCUGGAAGUACUGAUGGUGUCCGCCAAAACAAACACUCUAGUGCGUGCCGCUGGGCGAUUUUCAGGGCGGUGUUUGUGCCUGUGCGUGGCCACACCAAUAAAGACGAGCUGAACAUGAGGAGGACGAGAGCAUCUCGAUCUCGAUUUCCGGGGAAAUGAUCGAUUUCGCCUGUUUUCCUGUGGUUUUUGUUCGGCGGACGGACGGGGAGGAGGGGGAAGAAGACAACCGGCUCAGCUUUUUCAGCGACGAUCAAAAAUGCCUUUGCUCUUUUGUCAAAAAAAAAAAAAAGCCUUUGCUCAGAUGAAUGCACAUGCAGAGCUUCUCGUCGUCGUCAGCGAUUUGUGGGUGGGCAAGCAACAUCCUCUCCCUUUCCUCCUGCAGAACCGCGUAACAUUUUCACACUACACGAGCUCCUUGCACUUGCAGAAUGAGGGGUGUGUGUGUGUCUACUCAAAAUUUCUGCAACUUUCCCUAGGGCAGAACGAGAGAACAUGCUGAAAUGCUCUGGGUAAGGUAAAACAAGAGCCAAAAUGCACAAAAGCAUACUUAGACCUUGUUUAGUUUUACAAAUUUUCUUUUUGUCCCAUCAUAUUGAAUCUCUAGACACUUGUACAUAAAAAAUUACACAAUUUACAUGUGAUUUAUGAGACGAUUUUUUAAGUUUAAUUAAUCUAUGAUUAGAUAUUAAUUGUCAAAUAAAACAAAAAUAUUAUGGUAGUUAAAUCCAAAAAAGUUAACGAACUAAACAAAGACUUAAUAACGAAGCCAUAUUCCUAAAAGGUGGCAGAUGUGGAUCCAUUAUUUCACUGCUUAUCUUCGGUUGAACACAUUAGUUAUAUGUAGGGAUGAAAACGGAUCGGAUACGAACGGAUAUCACUGAUAUCAUAUUUGUUUUUAUAUUUUUGGUCGGAUUCUGUCACACCCGAUUUUAAAGAACAAAACCAGGCUAGCCAUAUGUGUGCCCAGGAAGUCCACACAUACAACAACAGAAGCAAUAAUAUCAAAAACAAUGUUAUAUAGCGGAAACAUACUUAUAAUUAACACUUACAUCAGAGAAUCGUAACACAAUAACUAAUCUUCAGGCUCAAUCUUCACAGGGACGACUGACUGGGGGUAACAUAUGCCUAGCACUUCUUGUAUCCUGAUAACGUCCUUCGUAACUCCUUCGCUCCUCUGAUAACUCUUAGUAGUAUACUGGAGUGGUGGGAAAUAGCAAGAGUGAGCACAUAUCGUACUCAACAAGUAUAACCAAGGGUUCAUGAGGCUCAAAUGGCUGACACUGGUUUAACUGCAUUUAGCUUUUAAUAGUGGAGAGCAUGUUCAUAAUUUAAUAGCAAUUGUCAAGGUAGCAGUAAUAAUCCAUUAAUCACAUGAUCAAGUGUAAGCAUAAUUAAUUAUUAGCAUAAACGAUAAUCAAAUGAACAUAACAACUUAACAAGCUCAUCGUCGUCGCAGCAAGAACCCCCAAGGCCGCUCUUAACCGUGAGCACGGCUAGUAUACUAGUUUUAACACUCUGCAGAGGUUGUACAUCUUUACCCAUGAGUCAUGAUUUACCCUUUCGCCCGAGGUGAUCAGCCUCUUAACCCACUCCCAAGGAAGGUCGGCAGGGAUCACUAUGAAGCCUUUCAAAAGUUCGUCUAACAUGUUAGGGCCGCAAGGUUUCCUUUGCGAGCAGAUAUAGAUACCCCCCUUCCGAAUGGCACAAUGACGCGCAGCCUAUACACAUAGGGACAGGGGCUCGCACUAUACCCGUGUCGGUUCAGCCCCUCCGCCCUUUCGGGUAACCUCUAACAAGCUAGAAAAGGUCUUCAUACUGAGCUAAAGCCAGAGCCAUUAUAGCCCUCAUGGUUGCACUGUUGUCCCGGUGAUCACUUACAGACAAGAUCUCAUAUAGUUAUUUGUCAUCUUUUAACGUUCAUUGCAUAGCUAUUAAUCAUCUUACAAGAUCAUGGAUUAUAUCAAGCACUAGCACAUCUACACCAAAUGCAUAUCAAGUAGGUAACAAGGAAUCCAGGUAACAAUCAUCUAUGAUUUUGCUAAGGUCGACAAGGUGAUAGCAUGCAUAUGACAUAUAUGUGUAGUUAUAAGUGAAUAGGUAACAAGGAUGAUCCCAAGUUAUACUUGCCUUAAACACUUGCUUAAUCCUCACAUCAUCAGCUUUCUGUCAUCAUCUUCUGAUCUUCAAUGCCCACAAACAGUUCUCGUCUACUCGCAUGAAGCACCACGCAUAGGCAAACAUACAAAGCAACAAAUAAAAGAAACUAAGAACAACACACCAAUCAAAAAAAGAAAGCCUUAAAAGAGAGCGCACUAAACGUUACGGGUCGAUGCUAAGGUUAUGAGAAACGCCGAAAGCAAAACUAUCGUAAUAAAGAAAUGACUACCUGUAGUUUUGGAUAAUUUAAAAGAGACAACAAUGAUCUUAAUAUGUUUUAUUUAAGAACAAUCAUGCGUAACCUACUAAUUCAAAUUAGUCAAAUUAUAUUUUAAUUUUAAAAACAAAGUAGAACUUAUUAUAUUUUAUUUAUGAAUAUAUCUAUUAUAUAAUCGAUAAUCAUAUUUUAAAUAUAGGCAUGCAAGCAUCAUUUUAAUCAAAGUAAACUUUAACUUUUUAAAGAAUAUGUGAGAACAUCUAUUCAAAUUAUACAUGAUACGUGUUGGAGAUGAUCAUAUGUUAUUCAUACAUAAUUUUAUAUCGUUUAUGCCAGUUAAACUUUAACUUAUAAAAUUACGUAACAUGUGAGCACUAAAAUAAGUUUAUGGUAUAUAUCGUGAUUGUCUAAGCAAAAUAUAAUUAAAACAUAUUCAAGUUGCUAUUAAUUAAAUUCAUGCUCACAUAAUUACAAAGGAUAGACAAACCCAUAUUAUUUUAAUUAUAAAACUAACUAUAAGGAUAUUGAGCAAUUAAAUAUUUAGAAAUAUAUAGAAAACAUGUGACAUGAAAAACACUAGCACUAACGCGUAGAUUACAUUGAUAUGAGUCUAAUGCAACUUGAACAAACAAACUCAGAGUUAAAAUGAGUAUUUUAUAGCUAAAACAAGCUAAUGUAUUUUCUCUAUAUUUCUAGAUUUGUUUUUCUAAAGGAAAACGGUGACAAAACUUAUCCACGACAUCACGUAUUCAUGGAGCAAAAAGAAAUUCUAAAUCUGAUUUCUUUUACCACCGAUUAACAAAAGUAAUACAUAAAUGUUGAUUUCUCGCUCGAUCCGCGUGCACUGAAAAUUCUGAAAUUCACCCACAAACCACAGUCCUAAUUACCUUGAUCCAUGUGUGUCGGUGAGAGUGAAAGCCAGAGAACGCAGCGCCGGGCAGCGGUAAUCGGUAACAGCAGCAUGGACUUCCACCUCUGCACAGUACCACCGAUCAACACAGAGGACAACAGUUUCUGCAGUGCGCCGAUUGAUGAAACGGAGGAAAUCGACGAGCAGAUGAAUUCGUCCAACAGCCGAAAAAUACUGUACCCGAUGACGACUGCGGUGGCCAGGAUGGAGUAGGACGGCAUGGCUCUAGGGGAGAUUAGUCGGCACCGGCGGCGGCAGAUACGAUCUAGGGCAAAAGCAAGAGCCUGUUCUGUUGCAAGAUAUAUAUAUAUAUAUAUAUAUAUAUAUAUAUAUAUAUAUAUAUAUGCUAGAAGAUAUGGGCCAUUUUAAGAUCAAAAAGGAGUUGGCUUCCUGGUCUCCCUACGAUAAGACGUCGGACAAAUUGAGCUGCGGUCGGAUGGUGGGUUUGAGCCCAAAUUAGCAAGAAUUUUACACAAAGUAAAAGGGAGCUUUAACAAAAGCAUGACAAACUCAUGGGUGAAUUGGAAGAUGAAUCCAAAUAAAGUAUUUAGAGCUCAUGAAAAGAUAUCUAGGAGCAUCUAGAAAUUAGAUUAUGCUCAGAGUCAAGUGGAAAUAAAUUCCAGGAAAAAUGCUGAAAAUAAUUCUUCAUACGUUUUAAUAGGUCGGUUCAUGGAAGGUGUACCCAAAGGAAUAAUUUAAAAUAGAAUAAAGGGAUAUGGAAACUCUAAAUAAAAAGAUUAAUGAUCAAGAAAGAGAAGACUUGAUUAUAUAGAAAAAAAACUGGAGACACGCCGGAUAGAGAUCAACGACUUACUAAACGCGCUUAUUAAAACUGCACCCGCUCACAACACAAAGUCAAGCGACAAGCAAGCAUCACCUCACAUCAACAAAAGCUCAUCAAGUUAAUUCAAAACAAAUUUGAAAAUUAACAUUCUCCUAUAACUAAAUUUGCAGUGACUCCAAACUAAACUUGGUAAAUUUUAUCCAAAUAUCAAAAUAUAUAUUUUUGUUAAUGUUUUCUACGCACAGCCCAAAAUCAAAAAUUUUGGGGUGUGACAGAUUCGGAUUCGAAUACGGAUAAUAUCAACAAUGUCGGAUAAGAUACGAUUGGAUGUUGACAUCAUAAAUAUACGAUUUAAGUAUUCGGAUACGGAUACGGUAUCGGAUAUUAAACAUUCAGACUCGAAUACGGACAGAUCUCAACCCCUCUAAACGAAUUCGGUCUCGAAUACGGUCGGAAAAUAUCCGUACCAUUUUUAUCCCUAGUUAUAUGACUUUAAUUUUACCGUCGAUGAGAGGGUAAGUGGGCAACACGGUAUAUAUAUAGUAGUAGUGUGUCAGUGUAAGAUUAGACCUUGUUUAGUUUCAAAAAAUUUUCAAAAUUCCUCGUCACAUCAAAUCUUACGGGAUAUGCAUGAAGCAUUAAAUAUAAAUAAAAAAAAGAUAACUAAUUACACAGUUUAUCUAUAAUUUGCAAGACGAAUCUUUUGAUCCUAAUUAGUCUAUAUUUAAAUAAUACUUAUCAAAUAAAGCCGAAACUGCUACAGUAGCGAAACCCAAAUUUUUUCGCGGAUUAAAUAUGUAUAGUAAAAGAAUUGUUACAAUACCUCUCAAAAUCUUUAAAAACACUCAUAGUUGGUAUCACGAACAAAUAUUUUCUGAUUCCUAUGAUUUUCAAUUCAUCGAUUUUUUAUCUUAUUUAUCGCUAAGUAGGUGUGUAGUUUAUUGCAGUUUACUUUAGAGGUGUCCUGUCUAAUUUCUGAUUCAUGUAUUUCUUACGUUUGUCAGUUUACAUACCUAACCCAAGGUUGUUGAUGUCUAUUCACGUACGUGGUAACUUAGGAUGUGUUAGCUAGCUAAUUUCUUAUUCAUGAGCUAAUUGUUAGCGAGCUAAUUGUAGCUAGCUUAAAAUUAGUUCUAGUGUAUCCAAACAUGAGUGCUAAUAGGACUAAUUUUUUAAGCUAAGUUUUCAACUAGUUAGUCAGCUAGCUAGCCAACCAUAGAUAUUUCGAACCAAAUUUUAGCUUAAGUACCAAUAACUAGCCAUGUAUCAAACAAUCCCUAAGUAGUCCAUUCCCCACAGUUGACGUCUUGGCGCCACAUACUUUCUUGGAGGCGUUGUUCUUCGAGCCCCAUGCUCGUAUGCCAUCAUGGCCAGAUUCAAGGGCGAAAGUCCCGUCUUGGGUGUCUCUAAGGCCAAUGCGACGCGUCCAUAGUUUCUAUGAGCGUCCUCCCCUUGCUGAAGUGGCCUUUCUACCGUCGGCUUCUCAGGAGUCCCUGACUAUACCUGUUGUGUUUCAUUUCCACUUGCUUUGGUCUAUUCUGCAGUUGUUGAUAGAGCGAAUCUAGGAUAUUAUGUCACUGGGGUCAAGGACUAAACAACGGGGUCAACACACAUGUUAAUUCUCUAUUUAAAAGAAUAAUUUGCAGGUCGAUUAAAGAGCUUUAAGUGAAUUUUUGGCAAGUUAUCGGGGUCAGCUGACCCCAAUGAAUACACAUAGAUUCGCCUCUGGAUUGUUGACCUUGUCCGCUUGGUCAUCGUUGGUUAUCAUAGUGGUUGCUUAGCUACUAUUGCUGCUCUCUUGGCAGAUGCUUUGCCGCCGUUUAGUUCGUUGGCAGAUGCUCUAAUUUGCUGCUGAUUGGUUUGUUGAUGGAUGCUUUGCCACCCUGUCGUCGACCUCCUUUCUACUAGUUCAUUUGCUACCGAGACUGAUCUGGUUCGUUGGCGGAUGCUUUGCCGCUGUUUUGUUCGUUGACGAAUGCUUUACCGUCGUUGUUGUUGGACGGUCCUCUGUAUUGACGACCACUACAUUGUUGCAUUGCAGGCACAGUUUUAGGUUUUGGGUCUUGAGGAUAGUCGCUCUCCUCUUUGUAUCUUUGUUGUUCCUAUAUUUAUUCUAGAUUACUCAAUAUUAUCUUAGUGGUUUGUAAUCUAUGAGGGUUUUCUUAUAGCUGACUUAUAAUUCACUCCUUUUAAUAAAAAAGUGGGCUAUAUCCCCAAAUCGUGAAAAAAAUAGUUAAAGGGGUGAAGUAGAUUUUUUUUCUCAAAAGAAUAUUGUUGAAUGAAUGACAGGACUUUGAUGAUAUCAAGUUAUCUGCUCCUGAAAACAACUGCUCAAAGGACUAUGGCCUUGUUUAUAUCAAAAAAAAAUUUAGAUACCGUAGCAUUUUUGUUUUUAUUUGACAAAUAUUUUUCAAUCAUGGAGUAGCUAGGUUUAAAAGAUUCGUCUCGCGAUUUACAGGCAAACUAUGCAAUUAGUUUUUAUUUUUAUCUAUAUUUAAUGGUCCAUGCAUGUGCCGCAAAAUUUGAUGUGCAGAAAAUCUUAAAAAGUUUUUGAUUUUUAGGGUGAACUAAGGCCUGGUUUAGUUGGCAAAAAAUUUAGAUUUCGAGUACUGUAACACUUUCGUUUUUAUUUGACAAACAUUGUCCAAUCAUGGAGUAAUAACUAUACUUAAAAGAUUCAUCUCGCGAUUUACAGAUAAAUUGUGUAAUUAAUUUUUAUUUUCAUAUAUAUAUUUAGUGCUCCAUGCAUGUGCCGCAAGAUUCGAUGUGACGGAGAAUCUUAAAAAAAAUUUGGUUUUUGCGGUGAACUAAACAAGGCCAUAUAUUAGUGUGCUGUGUUUCCCCCUACGAAGCAUUGUGGAGUCGUGCUUGAUCCACGUCGUUUGAUCUGGGCGAGGUGCACAAACGUCACAUGGCUCUUCUUGCUACUUCAGUGCAAAGGGAGUGUAUGCAUGCACACAAUAAUGCGGCCUGCGUCUGUGUACGGUAGAAAAAUACUUUAUACAGGAUAUGCAACGACGUGAAUGCUGCACCUGCCCCCUGCCCCUGCCCCUGCCCGCCCUAGUAGCUAUUCACGGCUCUAUCCAUUCCAUUGCCGUGCGUCAACAGGUCCAGACUGGCCCGGGUCCAAGCGAGUGACCAACGCGGGAAGCCUCCCGUCCCUCCCUCCCCCACAUGGGACAUGGCUGCCUGAUGAAUGCCUCUCGCCGCACUGCCCCUGCCCCUGCCCCUGCCCCUGCCCUCACUCCAUCGGAGGGCGGCGGCUUCACGAGAGCCGAGCAGGACCCAGACCCAGCGGGCAUCCGAGGCCCCCACCCCCACCCCCACCCCUUCCUCCGUGUAUAAAAGCGGUGCCAGGGUGAGCGUCUCUCCUCACACUGACUGCACCAGAACAAGAGCUUGAGAGUGAGAGUGAGGAUGAUGGGUGGCAAGGCCGCUCUGCUGCUGGCCCUGGUGGCCGUGACCCUGGCCGUCGUGGAGAUCCAGGCCGACGCCGGCUACGGCUACGGCGGCGGCUACCCGACGCCGACGCCGAAGCCGCCGGCCAAGGGGCCCAAGCCGGAGAAGCCCCCGACCAAGGGCCACGGCCACAAGCCGGAGAAGCCGCCCAAGGAGCACAAGCCGACUCCGCCCACCUACACCCCGAGCCCCAAGCCCACGCCGCCGCCGGCUACUCCCAAGCCGACGCCGCCCACCUACACGCCGAGCCCUAAGCCCAAGUCGCCGGUCUACCCUCCCCCGCCGAAAGCCAGUACUCCUCCGACCUACACCCCGAGCCCCAAGCCUCCGGCGACCAAGCCGCCUACCUACCCGACCCCCAAGCCACCAGCUACCAAGCCUCCGACACCUCCUGUGUACACUCCGAGCCCCAAACCACCGGUUACAAAGCCUCCUACACCCAAGCCGACCCCGCCGGUGUACACGCCGAACCCCAAGCCACCGGUUACCAAGCCUCCGACACACACGCCGAGCCCCAAGCCUCCGACAUCCAAGCCGACUCCGCCGGUGUACACACCGAGCCCCAAGCCACCGAAGCCGUCCCCGCCGACGUACACGCCGACCCCGAAGCCACCGGCUACCAAGCCGCCCAC
This 27833-nucleotide long non-coding RNA is filed under the name Sorghum bicolor (sorghum). Its description in RNAcentral is "long non-coding RNA (SBIC_LNC011143)". The record is from RNAcentral. Lineage: Eukaryota; Viridiplantae; Streptophyta; Magnoliopsida; Poales; Poaceae.